RNAcentral lists this long non-coding RNA (222 nucleotides) under Musa acuminata (dwarf banana). RNAcentral describes it as "long non-coding RNA (MACU_LNC009634)". The record is from RNAcentral. Lineage: Eukaryota; Viridiplantae; Streptophyta; Magnoliopsida; Zingiberales; Musaceae.
UGCAAGCUAGCAAUUUUCUCUUUGAGAUAUGCACAUUAGCAACUCUUUCUCCCCCUAUGUCAUUGGCAAAAAGAAGGGAAGACCCUUUACAUUAAUUUCUAAAUCAUGACAAAGGUAGGUUUCAAUCUUAUUUGUUCAUCAUUAUAUUUUCAAAUUCGAACAUGCACAAUUUCAAAAACCUUAUAUUUCAUUCAUGCAUGAUACUGAAUAAAUCAAUCAAUA